UNUGACUUGAGUGCAGAAGGGGAGAGUGGAAUNCCAUGUGUAGCGGUGAAAUGCGUAGAUAUAUGGAGGAACACCAGUGGCGAAAGCGGCUCUUUGNUCUGUCACUGACGCUGAGGCUCGAAAGCGUGGGUAGCGAACAGGAUUAGAUACCCUGGUAGUNCACGCCGUAAACGAUGAGUGCUAGGUGUUAGGCCCUUUCCGGGGCUUAGUGCCGGAGCUAACGCAAUAAGCACUCCGCCUGGGGAGUACGACCGCAAGGUUGAAACUCAAAGGAAUUGACGGGGUCCCGCACAAGCGGUGGAGCAUGUGGUUUAAUUCGAAGCAACGCGAAGAACCUUACCAGGUCUUGACAUCCCGAUGCUAUUCUUAGAGAUAGGAAGUUACUUCGGUACAUCGGAGACAGGUGGUGCAUGGUUGUCGUCAGCUCGUGUCGUGAGAUGUUGGGUUAAGUNNNNNNACGAGCGCAACCCUUAUUGUUAGUUGCCAUCAUUAAGUUGGGCACUCUAGCGAGACUGCCGGUAAUAAACCGGAGGAAGGUGGGGAUGACGUCAAAUCAUCAUGCCCCUUAUGACCUGGGCUACACACGUGCUACAAUGGUCGGUACAACGAGUUGCGAGCCGGUGACGGCAAGCUAAUCUCUGAAAGCCGAUCUCAGUUCGGAUUGGAGGCUGCAACUCGCCUCCAUGAAGUCGGAAUCGCUAGUAAUCGCGGAUCAGCACGCCGCGGUGAAUACGUUCCCGGGCCUUG
RNAcentral lists this ribosomal RNA (747 nucleotides) under uncultured bacterium. RNAcentral's name for it is "bacterial SSU rRNA". It matches the Rfam family "Bacterial small subunit ribosomal RNA", at positions 636 to 1383 of the family's 1533-position model. The record is from RNAcentral.